GGAGGCAGCAGUAGGGAAUUUUCGGCAAUGGGGGAAACCCUGACCGAGCAACGCCGCGUGAAGGAAGAAGGUUUUCGGAUUGUAAACUUCUGUUAUAAAGGAAGAACGGCGGCUACAGGAAAUGGUAGCCGAGUGACGGUACUUUAUUAGAAAGCCACGGCUAACUACGUGCCAGCAGCCGCGGUAAUACGUAGGUGGCAAGCGUUAUCCGGAAUUAUUGGGCGUAAAGAGGGAGCAGGCGGCAGCAAGGGUCUGUGGUGAAAGCCUGAAGCUUAACUUCAGUAAGCCAUAGAAACCAGGCAGCUAGAGUGCAGGAGAGGAUCGUGGAAUUCCAUGUGUAGCGGUGAAAUGCGUAGAUAUAUGGAGGAACACCAGUGGCGAAGGCGACGAUCUGGCCUGCAACUGACGCUCAGUCCCGAAAGCGUGGGGAGCAAAUAGGAUUAGAUACCCUAGUAGUCCACGCCGUAAACGAUGAGUACUAAGUGUUGGAUGUCA
This 495-nucleotide ribosomal RNA is filed under the name uncultured bacterium. Its description in RNAcentral is "bacterial SSU rRNA". It matches the Rfam family "Bacterial small subunit ribosomal RNA", at positions 344 to 832 of the family's 1533-position model. The record is from RNAcentral.